UUCCGGUUGAUCCCGCCGGACCUGACUGCUAUCGGAUUGAUACUAAGCCAUGCGAGUCUUUGCAGUAAUGCAAGGCAUACGGCUCAGUAACACGUAGUCAACUUACCCUAUGGACGAGGAUAAUCUCGGGAAACUGAGCAUAAUACUCGAUAGAUCAUAAUGCCUGGAAUGGUUUAUGGUUGAAAUGAUUCGUCGCCAUAGGAUGGGACUGCGGCCUAUCAGCUUGUUGGUGAGGUAAUGGCCCACCAAGGCGAUUACAGGUACGGGCUCUGAGAGGAGAAGCCCGGAGAUGGGUACUGAGACAAGGACCCAGGCCCUAUGGGGCGCAGCAGGCGAGAAAACUUUGCAAUGUGCGAAAGCACGACAAGGUUAAUCCGAGUGAUUUCUGCUAAAGAAAUCUUUUGCAAGUCAUAAAACCACUAGUGAAUAAGGGGUGGGCAAGUUCUGGUGUCAGCCGCCGCGGUAAAACCAGCACCUCAAGUGGUCAGGAGGAUUAUUGGGCCUAAAGCAUCCGUAGCCGGCUCUGUAAGUUUUCGGUUAAAUCCAUGUGCUCAACGCAUGGGCUGCCGAAAAUACUGCAUAGCUAGGGAGUGGGAGAGGUAGACGGUACUCGGUAGGAAGGGGUAAAAUCCUUUGAUCUAUCGAUGACCACCUGUGGCGAAGGCGGUCUACCAGAACACGUUCGACGGUGAGGGAUGAAAGCUGGGGGAGCAAACCGGAUUAGAUACCCGGGUAGUCCCAGCUGUAAACGAUGCAGACUCGAUGAUGCAUUGGCAUAUAGCCAGUGCAGUGUCGCAGGGAAGCCGUUAAGUCUGCCGCCUGGGAAGUACGUACGCAAGUAUGAAACUUAAAGAAAUUGGCGGGGGAGCACCACAAGGGGUGAAGCCUGCGGUUCAAUUGGAAUCAACGCCGGA
RNAcentral lists this ribosomal RNA (914 nucleotides) under uncultured archaeon. Its description in RNAcentral is "bacterial SSU rRNA". It matches the Rfam family "Archaeal small subunit ribosomal RNA", at positions 1 to 922 of the family's 1478-position model. The record is from RNAcentral.